Molecule: transfer RNA, 93 nt
Filed under: bacterium
Lineage: Bacteria
Also listed under: 8 other names
Description: tRNA-Ser
Rfam family: tRNA
About the family: Transfer RNA (tRNA) molecules are approximately 80 nucleotides in length.
Source: RNAcentral
GGAGGGGUGGCCGAGCGGUCCAAGGCGGCGGUUUGCUAAACCGUGGCGGGGCAAAAACCCCGCCCGUGGGUUCGAAUCCCACCCCCUCCGCCA